This 72-nucleotide transfer RNA is filed under the name Phialemonium atrogriseum. RNAcentral's name for it is "tRNA-Glu". It matches the Rfam family "tRNA". From Rfam's summary of the family: Transfer RNA (tRNA) molecules are approximately 80 nucleotides in length. Their secondary structure includes four short double-helical elements and three loops (D, anti-codon, and T loops). Lineage: Eukaryota; Fungi; Ascomycota; Sordariomycetes; Cephalothecales; Cephalothecaceae. The record is from RNAcentral.
UCCGCUGUAGUGUAGGGGUUAACAUUCCGCGUUUUCACCGCGGCGCCCCGGGUUCGAUUCCCGGCAGCGGAG